Molecule: small nuclear RNA, 107 nt
Filed under: Amborella trichopoda
Lineage: Eukaryota; Viridiplantae; Streptophyta; Magnoliopsida; Amborellales; Amborellaceae
Source: RNAcentral
GAAUUUUGGAUAUCCAUUCAAUAAAAUCAGAACGAUACAGAGAAGAUUAACAUGGCUUCCUGCACAAGGAUGAGACACACACAAAUUGAAAAAUAGCCCAAAAACUU